AACGCACAUUGCGCCCAUUAGUAUUCUAGUGGGCAUGCCUGUUCGAGCGUCAUUUCAACCCUUAAGCUUAGCUUAGUAUUGGGAAUCUGCUUAACCGCAGCUCCUUAAAUAUAGUUGGCAGAGUGUAGCUGUACUCUGAGCGUAGUAAUUUAUUAUCUCGUUCUGGAAGACUGUUAUUCGAUCGCCAGAAAUCUAUCUAUUUUUUUUAAUGGUUGACCUCGGAUCAGGUAGGAAUACCCGCUGAACUUAA
Molecule: unclassified non-coding RNA, 250 nt
Filed under: uncultured Xylariales
Lineage: Eukaryota; Fungi; Ascomycota; Sordariomycetes; Xylariales
Description: sequence contains 5.8S rRNA gene, ITS2, 28S rRNA gene
Source: RNAcentral